CCUACGGGUGGCUGCAGUGGGGAAUAUUGCACAAUGGGCGCAAGCCUGAUGCAGCCAUGCCGCGUGUGUGAAGAAGGCCUUCGGGUUGUAAAGCACUUUCAGCGGGGAGGAAGGCGGUGAGGUUAAUAACCUCAUCGAUUGACGUUACCCGCAGAAGAAGCACCGGCUAACUCCGUGCCAGCAGCCGCGGUAAUACGGAGGGUGCAAGCGUUAAUCGGAAUUACUGGGCGUAAAGCGCACGCAGGCGGUCUGUCAAGUCGGAUGUGAAAUCCCCGGGCUCAACCUGGGAACUGCAUUCGAAACUGGCAGGCUAGAGUCUUGUAGAGGGGGGUAGAAUUCCAGGUGUAGCGGUGAAAUGCGUAGAGAUCUGGAGGAAUACCGGUGGCGAAGACGGCCCCCUGGACAAAGACAGACGCUCAGGUGCGAAAGCGUGGGGAGCAAACAGGAUUAGAUACCCGUGUAGUC
RNAcentral lists this ribosomal RNA (465 nucleotides) under uncultured Klebsiella sp. RNAcentral's name for it is "bacterial SSU rRNA". It matches the Rfam family "Bacterial small subunit ribosomal RNA", at positions 338 to 795 of the family's 1533-position model. The record is from RNAcentral. Lineage: Bacteria; Pseudomonadati; Pseudomonadota; Gammaproteobacteria; Enterobacterales; Enterobacteriaceae.